CCUACGGGGGGCAGCAGUGGGGAAUAUUGGGCAAUGGGCGCAAGCCUGACCCAGCAACGCCGCGUGAAGGAAGAAGGCUUUCGGGUUGUAAACUUCUUUUCUCAGGGACGAAGCAAGUGACGGUACCUGUGGAAUAAGCCACGGCUAACUACGUGCCAGCAGCCGCGGUAAUACGUAGGUGGCAAGCGUUAUCCGGAUUUACUGGGUGUAAGGGGCGUGUAGGCGGGAAAGCAAGUCAGAUGUGAAAACCACGGGCUCAACCUGUGGCCUGCAUUUGAAACUGUUUUUCUUGAGUGCUGGAGAGGCAGACGGAAUUCCUGGUGUAGCGGUGAAAUGCGUAGAUAUUAGGAGGAACACCAGUGGCGAAGGCGGUCUGCUGGACAGCGACUGACGCUGAGGCGCGAAAGCGUGGGGAGCAAACAGGAUUAGAUACCCCGGUAGUC
This 443-nucleotide ribosomal RNA is filed under the name uncultured bacterium. Its description in RNAcentral is "partial 16S ribosomal RNA". It matches the Rfam family "Bacterial small subunit ribosomal RNA", at positions 338 to 795 of the family's 1533-position model. The record is from RNAcentral.